UACAGAGAGUGCAAUCGUUGUUCGGAAUUACUGGGCUUGAAGCGCACGUAGGCGGCGUUGUAAGUGUCGGGUGAAAUCCCACGGCUCACCCGUGGAACUGCCCGGCAUACUGCGAUGCUAGAGUGUGGUAGGGGAGAGCGGAACUCCUGGUGGAGCGGUGAAAUGCGUAGAUAUCAGGAGGAACACCGGUGGCGAAGGCGGCUCUCUGGUCCACAACUGACGCUGAGGUGCGAAAGCUAGGGGAGCAAACGGG
This 253-nucleotide ribosomal RNA is filed under the name uncultured bacterium. RNAcentral describes it as "partial 16S ribosomal RNA". It matches the Rfam family "Bacterial small subunit ribosomal RNA", at positions 524 to 776 of the family's 1533-position model. The record is from RNAcentral.